This 484-nucleotide ribosomal RNA is filed under the name uncultured bacterium. RNAcentral's name for it is "bacterial SSU rRNA". It matches the Rfam family "Bacterial small subunit ribosomal RNA", at positions 8 to 518 of the family's 1533-position model. The record is from RNAcentral.
AGAGUUUGAUCCUGGCUCAGAACGAACGCUGGCGGCAUGCCUAACACAUGCAAGUCGAACGGUGUUAUAUAGUACUGUAUUAUAUGACAUAGUGGCAAACGGGUGAGUAACGCGUGGGGACGUACCCUUCAGUAAUGGAUAACGGAUGGAAACGUACGCUAAUACAUUAUAGAAUUGAGAGAUGAAAGAGAGAUCGCUGAGGGAGCGGCCCGCGUUAGAUUAGGUAGUUGGUGGGGUAAAGGCCUACCAAGCCGAUGAUCUAUAGCUGGUCUGAGAGGAUGAUCAGCCACAUUGGGACUGAGAUACCGGCCCAGACUCCGUACGGGAGGCAGCAGGUGGGGAAUAUUGGACAAGUGGGGGGAACCCUGAAUCCAGCGAUGCCGCGUGAGUGAAGAAGGCCUUCGGGUUGUAAAGCUCUUUUAUAAGUGGAGAUAAUGACGGUAACUUAUGAAUAAGCUCCGGCAAACUUCGUGCCAGCCGCGGC